Molecule: ribosomal RNA, 202 nt
Filed under: uncultured bacterium
Lineage: Bacteria
Description: partial 16S ribosomal RNA
Rfam family: Bacterial small subunit ribosomal RNA
Source: RNAcentral
UACGUAGGGUGCGAGCGUUGUCCGGAAUUAUUGGGCGUAAAGGGCCUCGUAGGUCGGUUUGUCGCGUCGGGAGUGAAAUCCACUGGCUUAACUGGUGGCUUGCUUUCGAUACGGGGCAGACUGGAGGUAUGCAGGGGGAGAACGGAAUUCCUGGUGUAGCGGUGAAAUGCGCAGAUAUCAGGAGGAACACCGGUGGCGAAGG